Molecule: ribosomal RNA, 253 nt
Filed under: uncultured bacterium
Lineage: Bacteria
Description: partial 16S ribosomal RNA
Rfam family: Bacterial small subunit ribosomal RNA
Source: RNAcentral
UACGUAGGUGGCAAGCGUUGUCCGGAAUUAUUGGGCGUAAAGCGCGCGCAGGCGGUCCUUUAAGUCUGAUGUGAAAGCCCACGGCUCAACCGUGGAGGGUCAUUGGAAACUGGGGGACUUGAGUGCAGGAGAGAAGAGUGGAAUUCCCAGUGUAGAGGUGAAAUUCGUAGAUAUUGGGAAGAACACCGGUGGCGAAGGCGGCUCACUGGCUCGUAUCUGACGCUCAGGCGCGACAGCGUGGGGAUCAAACAGG